CGGUGAUAUAGGAGCCACAUAUUGACAGAUAGACCCAGCUAGAGGCAUGGCGUCUGAGGUGUUCUUCCUCUCACUGUUGGCGUGGUUUAGUUUGUACAACCAAGGACAUGGCCUGGACUGUCAGGACGAGUCUACUGACUGUGCGAUAGACAUCACCCUAGCAAUGUGUGACCAGCCAGGAAUCGCUCCAGCAUGUUCGGGAGACGUGCCAGACAUGUGAACCAAAUGGUGAUCAGUGUGCGACUGGUUAUGUGGAACAACGGAACAGAUGCACCAGCUGCAGCAGCCUGACUCUUCAAGAAAUCUUCCAGAGUAGAGAAUGUCCUCAAGGCUGCCCUCAGAAUAAGCGGGGAGGAACUGCUCCAAACCCUGUAACCCGGGCUGUUUUAGGGGAUGUGAGAAAUGGUCGGGGCAAUGUCUCGGGGGAUGCAAGAACGGUUUCUAUAGUAACCACUGUGAUCUAAAUUGUGAAAACUGUGGAGGCAAUGGUCAAUGUCGUAUAAACGGAACAUGUAAAUAUGGUUGUAAAUCUGGUUUUGAAGGAAGUUUGUGUUUGCAACAUACACUAAGAUAAACACCUGAUAUGCCGUUCUCUAGACUUAAAGGUCGACCAUUUCAUAUUGAGAAGGGAGAAGGGCAAGUGGGUCUGUCGUAGAUGCUUGAAAAGAAUGAUAUUUUGUCGCUUUUUUUCUAUGCAUAAGAACUGUUGUAAAGAAACAAAAGCGCGGUCGAAGACGUAUCAAAUCUGACGUUUUACUAUGCCAGUUCCGUCGACCAUCAAACUCUUAUUCUACCCUAUUUGUCGACCUGUAUUUCCUACCACUGUGGAGCAGGUGGACACUGUGUCAUUUGUCCCGUCAUAUAUUCCAGACACUAAGAUAUAUAAUGACCUCGCUCCACUGAGUCAAUACCAUGCCAGGUGGGGCAUUUGCUUUGAUUGCCGGUGUCAUAUUAGCAGAUAUUUAUGAAUGAUCAACUUCUUUAUUGUUUCGUUUCGGUAUAGAUACUUAUACCGUUUUGAAGCAUGAAAACGGGAUAAGUAUCUUUACCAAAGCGUCCCCAUCGUACAAUAAAGAAAUUGAUCAUCGGUAAAGACUUGUCACUCCUGUUUACCUAUGGGUACCUCGUUAGGAUGAGAAAGCCACAAUAACUCGGUGCGCCUAGUGGCUGCAAGAGAUUGAUAAUGCGAUGUGCCGUUGAGACUGAGAUUGACAUC
This is a long non-coding RNA of Haliotis rubra (blacklip abalone), 1216 nucleotides long. RefSeq lists it as uncharacterized. The record is from RefSeq and is a predicted model, not a curated record. The transcript is spliced from 3 exons. NCBI's taxonomy places the organism in Eukaryota, Metazoa, Mollusca, Gastropoda, Lepetellida, Haliotidae.